GACGAACUCUGACCCGUGCUUAACACAUGCAAGUCGAACGAUGACGGAGGAGCUUGCUCCUCCUGAUUAGUGGCGAACGGGUGAGUAAUACGUGAGCAAUGUGCCCUUGACUCUGGGAUAAGCGCUGGAAACGGCGUCUAAUACCGGAUACGACGAUCGGAGGCAUCUCCUGGUCGUGGAAAGAACUUCGGUCAAGGAUCAGCUCACGGCCUAUCAGUUAGUUGGUGAGGUAAUGGCUCACCAAGACGACGACGGGUAGCCGGCCUGAGAGGGUGACCGGCCACACUGGGACUGAGACACGGCCCAGACUCCUACGGGAGGCAGCAGUGGGGAAAAUUGCACAAUGGGCGCAAGCCUGAUGCAGCAACGCCGCGUGAGGGACGAAGGCCUUCGGGUUGUAAACCUCUUUUAGCAGGGAAGAAGCGAAAGUGACGGUACCUGCAGAAAAAGCACCGGCUAACUACGUGCCAGCAGCCGCGGUAAUACGUAGGGUGCAAGCGUUGUCCGGAAUUAUUGGGCGUAAAGAGCUCGUAGGCGGUUUGUCACGUCUGCUGUGAAAACCCGAGGCUCAACCUCGGGCUUGCAGUGGGUACGGGCAGACUAGAGUGCGGUAGGAGAGAUUGGAAUUCCUGGUGUAGCGGUGGAAUGCGCAGAUAUCACGAGGGACACCGAUGGCGAAGGCAGAUCUCUGGGCCGUAACUGACGCUGAGGAGCGAAAGCAUGGGGA
Molecule: ribosomal RNA, 727 nt
Filed under: uncultured soil bacterium
Lineage: Bacteria
Description: bacterial SSU rRNA
Rfam family: Bacterial small subunit ribosomal RNA
Source: RNAcentral